UACGUAGGGUGCGAGCGUUGUCCGGAAUCAUUGGGCGUAAAGAGCGUGUAGGCGGCCCGGUAAGUCCGCUGUGAAAGUCGGGGGCUCAACCCUCGAAUGCCGGUGGAUACUGUCGGGCUAGAGUGCGGAAGAGGCGAGUGGAAUUCCUGGUGUAGCGGUGAAAUGCGCAGAUAUCAGGAGGAACACCGAUUGCGAAGGCAGCUCGCUGGGACGUAACUGACGCUGAGACGCGAAAGCGUGGGGAGCAAACAGG
Molecule: ribosomal RNA, 253 nt
Filed under: uncultured bacterium
Lineage: Bacteria
Description: partial 16S ribosomal RNA
Rfam family: Bacterial small subunit ribosomal RNA
Source: RNAcentral